AAAAGAUCUGUGAUUUAAAUUAACAGCCCUUCAAGCUCGGAAAAAUCUGAAGCUGUUUGCCCACCAGUCACCCAAACAUCCGGUGAAAAUCGCGGAAAUAAACAAUAACAGCGAUCCUCCCUAUUCCUACCUGAGAUCGCUCUGAUUUCCUCGCGGUCAGAAAGUUGCUUGUUAUAGUAGAAAGCUAACGUUAAGCUAACAGCUACUGUAUUGUUGUCAGUGUUAUGACCUGCACCGUAAAGUUUUGAUAAAUUCCAUGAUAAAUGCCUUUUUUUAAAUGUUUUUCUUAUGCUUACAGAUUGGUCAGUGGAACUUGUCUUGAGCAAACGAAAGGUGGAGCUCUUGGUCAGAGGCUCAAGCCAAUAAUCAUGGAAUUAAUUAAGGAUCCAACCUCUACUGUAGAAAAGAGGAGGGAAGUCGUAAUCCGAGGCCUGAUUGAGUACAUCGGGGAGAAGCCAGAGGACUUGAUUUCAGAUCAACAGAAUCUGGAGGAAAUUGAGGACACUCAGCAGAAUAUCUCCUAUCCACUGAAGAUCGUCAAAGUCGGUGACACGUAUGAGAACAACAUUGAUGGCCUCCAAUGCAUCACAGGUUUGGGCAAUGUCGCCAAGGCCUCCUGCAUUCUUGUUGGCGAUAUAUACGCGUUGGACUUGAACUAUCCAUCCAAACUUCAGCAGACAUUUCAAACUUUUCAGAUUACUGAUUGUUGCAAAGAUACUCAUGAGUGUGUCUAAAGACCAGUAGCAAUAUAAAUAAUCCAUAUUUGUCUAUCAAUCCUGUUCCUUGAUUGUUGAGUUGUAUUUUCCUCUGCAUUAUCCGCUGUUCUAGUUUAAUUGUGCCAGAGGGAGAAAAUACUGUACACUCUUGUAGAAAAUAAUUAAUUUUCAUUGAAUAAUAAUCAAUGAACUCAUCAAAUAAUUGAAUGUGUCAAUAAAUAAUUUAAAUAAUCAUUACAAGUAAUAAAAAAGAGUUUGAGGAAUGAGUUUGACAGAUAGCUGGGCUAAUAAGUUUACAUCCCCAACAUACUUUUUCAGAGAAUAUGUAUAAUAACAUACAAAUCUUUCUUUUGCUCGUGAUUAGUGAUUCUAUUAUAUAAAAAAACUGUUUACUCUUUUUAAAUCAUGACAACAGAAACUUCCCAAAUGACCCUGAUCAAAAAUUGACAUAACCCUGUACUUAAUGAGUACCUGUACAUCAAUGACAACCUGUAAUGUUUUGUGGUAGUUGUGGAUGAGGCUCUUGAUUUUCUCAGAUGGUAAAUCUGCCAAUUCUUCUUGGCAAAAAACCUCCAGUUCAUGUAAAACCUUGAGCUGUCUUGCAUAAACUGCACAUUUGAGAUCUCCCCAUUAACACUGGAGGAUUUUUGCCUAGAAGAAUAGGCAGAUUUGCCAUCUGAGAAAACCCAAGAGCCUCAUCCACAACUACCACAAAACAUUACAGGCUGUCAUUGAUGUAAAAAGGGACAAUACUCAGUAUUAAGUAACUUCACAAUAUAAAUGAGAAGGAAGGUCUAGAACAUGAUUAAAACUAAACGUCCUAAAAGAACAUUUUGCAUAACUCCUUAAAAUAUUUAUUGACACCUUAAAAUAAGUCUUGGUUUAAUUCAAUGAACAUUUACUUAUUCAAUGACAUAUAUUUCAUGUAUUUGUAAUGGUGCAUUAAAAAAUAGUGCUAAUGGAAAAUCUGCUGAAUGGUCUAUUGGUAUGUAUGGUAAAAAUAUCAAUACAAAAACAAUCCUUUAAAAAAUGUUUGCUCAUAUUUAUUCUUUUCCUUUUUUUUUACUUAAAACUGGAGUGGUGAGAAACAAAAAUUGUACAGAGUACUUCUGUUGGAAGAGAAAUCAGAUGGAAAAAUGUUUCAAAAUGUAACAUUGACAAAUAUAUUUUUAUAUAUAUUUACGUUUAAUUGUGUUCACAACUUUAUUAAUAUUGUGAAAAAUAAAUGUUGACAUGGAAAAGCUUCAAAAGGUUUUAUUUCAGAACACAAGCAUAUUGGUAUAAAUGUUUUAAAGUAAUGUUUUUCAGAGCUAACAUUCUUGGCAAAGAUGAUAAUCUUAGUAGGUUUUUUUGUAUUCUACUAGAAAACAUGUUGGGAGAAAAUAUUAACUCAAAGAAAUGUAAUUGUUUAAUC
This is a long non-coding RNA of Neogobius melanostomus (round goby), 2130 nucleotides long. The record is from Ensembl. NCBI's taxonomy places the organism in Eukaryota, Metazoa, Chordata, Actinopteri, Gobiiformes, Gobiidae.